CGGAUUGUAGUCUGCAACUCGACUACAUGAAGCUGGAAUCGCUAGUAAUCGCGAAUCAGAAUGUCGCGGUGAAUACGUUCCCGGGUCUUGUACACACCGCCCGUCACACCAUGGGAGUCGGAUAUGCCCGAAGUCAGUGACCCAACCAUAUGGAGGGAGCUGCCGAAGGUGGAGCCGAUAACUGGGGUGAAGUCGUAACAAGGUAGC
This 207-nucleotide ribosomal RNA is filed under the name uncultured bacterium. RNAcentral's name for it is "partial 16S ribosomal RNA". It matches the Rfam family "Bacterial small subunit ribosomal RNA", at positions 1294 to 1500 of the family's 1533-position model. The record is from RNAcentral.